UACAUGAAGCUGGAAUCGCUAGUAAUCGCGGAUCAGAAUGCCGCGGUGAAUACGUUCCCGGGUCUUGUACACACCGCCCGUCACACCAUGGGAGUCGGAAAUGCCCGAAGUCUGUGACCUAACCGUAAGGAAGGAGCAGCCGAAGGCAGGUCGGAUGACUGGGGUGAAGUCGUAACAAGGUACC
This 184-nucleotide ribosomal RNA is filed under the name uncultured bacterium. Its description in RNAcentral is "partial 16S ribosomal RNA". It matches the Rfam family "Bacterial small subunit ribosomal RNA", at positions 1317 to 1500 of the family's 1533-position model. The record is from RNAcentral.